CGGCGGACGGGUGAGUAGUGCCUAGGAAUCUGCCUGGUAGUGGGGGACAACGUUUCGAAAGGAACGCUAAUACCGCAUACGUCCUACGGGAGAAAGUGGGGGAUCUUCGGACCUCACGCUAUCAGAUGAGCCUAGGUCGGAUUAGCUAGUUGGUGGGGUAACGGCUCACCAAGGCGACGAUCCGUAACUGGUCUGAGAGGAUGAUCAGUCACACUGGAACUGAGACACGGUCCAG
Molecule: ribosomal RNA, 235 nt
Filed under: uncultured Pseudomonadales bacterium
Lineage: Bacteria; Pseudomonadati; Pseudomonadota; Gammaproteobacteria; Pseudomonadales
Description: partial 16S ribosomal RNA
Rfam family: Bacterial small subunit ribosomal RNA
Source: RNAcentral